UACAGAGGUCUCAAGCGUUGUUCGGAUUCAUUGGGCGUAAAGGGUGCGUAGGCGGCGGGGCAAGUCAGGUGUGAAAUCUCGGGGCUCAAUCCCGAAACUGCACUUGAUACUGCCUUGCUCGAGUACUGGAGAGGAGAUUGGAAUUUACGGUGUAGCAGUGAAAUGCGUAGAUAUCGUAAGGAAGACCAGUGGCGAAGGCGAAUCUCUGGACAGUUACUGACGCUGAGGCACGAAGGCCAGGGGAGCAAACGGG
RNAcentral lists this ribosomal RNA (253 nucleotides) under uncultured bacterium. RNAcentral's name for it is "partial 16S ribosomal RNA". It matches the Rfam family "Bacterial small subunit ribosomal RNA", at positions 524 to 776 of the family's 1533-position model. The record is from RNAcentral.